This 118-nucleotide ribosomal RNA is filed under the name uncultured eukaryote. RNAcentral describes it as "partial small subunit ribosomal RNA". The record is from RNAcentral.
GUGGAUUGCACCAGAAGUGGGURYGCUAACCCGARAGGGAGGUAGCCCCCCAAGGUGUGGUUCAUGACUGGGGUGAAGUCGUAACAAGGUAGCMGUAGGUGAACCUGCAGAAGGAUCA